RNAcentral lists this unclassified non-coding RNA (819 nucleotides) under Hevea brasiliensis (rubber tree). Lineage: Eukaryota; Viridiplantae; Streptophyta; Magnoliopsida; Malpighiales; Euphorbiaceae. The record is from RNAcentral.
GGAAAAUACAAAUUUGUACAACUAGAACCUUCUGGCUGCUAAUAAGACAGACUAGUAGAUCCAAAGUGUAAUCGUAAUGGGGGAAAAACCGGUGAUGGUGGUGGGGCUGGAUGACAGCGAAUACAGUUUUUAUGCAUUAGAGUGGACUUUGGAACACUUGUUUAGAUCUUCACCGCCUCCUUUCAAACUCCUUAUCGUUCACGCCAAACCUACUGCUACUUCUGCCAUCGGCCUCGCUGGUCCUGGGGGUGCCGAUGUUUUGCCCUAUGUGGAGGCUGAUUUGAGGAAGAUCUCUUCAAGGAUAGCCGAAAAAGCUAAGAAGAUUUGUUCUGCUAAAUCGGUAAACGAUGUUGUAGUUGAGAUUGCGGAAGGUGAUGCUAGGAGUGUCUUGUGUGAUGCAGUGGAGAAGCAUCAUGCCUCUAUGUUAGUUGUUGGUAGUCAUGGUUAUGGAGUUCUGAAGAGGGCUGUUUUGGGCAGUGUAAGUGACUACUGUGCUCACCACACUCACUGCAGUGUGAUGAUUGUGAAGCGCCCAAAGAUCAAGGCUUGAGAUUUGGUUGAUGCUGUGUAUUUAUAUAAUUCCAAUAAUAAAUAGAGUAGAUUUGGAAAUUGGAGUAGCUAGCAAUUUUCACAAGUCUACGCACAAAAUUUGUAACAAAACAUAAUAGCUUGGGGCCGUCUCAAAAGAAAAUUAGUAAAUCAGAAACAAAAAGCUCCUAUCAGUAGUUUUAUUUGUUGAUUUUUUUUAGCGGAUGGAUGGAUGGAUCAUAUCCAUCUUUGUCCUUGUCCUAAGCCAAAUAGAAAAACCUUUCAAAGAAA